Molecule: long non-coding RNA, 399 nt
Filed under: Vigna radiata
Lineage: Eukaryota; Viridiplantae; Streptophyta; Magnoliopsida; Fabales; Fabaceae
Description: long non-coding RNA (VRAD_LNC006885)
Source: RNAcentral
AAAUAACUAAGGAAGAGAGAAAGUAAAAGUGUGAGAGUGGGGUGGGGUGUGUGGCACUGGGUGAAUAAGAGAGGUAACAAAUUAGGGAUUUAAGAAAAAAAAAAAAAAGAGUAAAUGGUAAAACUAAGAAAGGAUAUUUUUGAAAUGAAAAAAAAUUGGGCAAAAAAAGAUGUAGUGGUGUAGAGGUGUAUGAGAGAACCUCUCUUGACUUUUUCUUCAUCAUCAUAUUGGAUUUGAGUAUGCUUUUCCUUUUCGUUUUGAUACAUUCAAAUAAAUCGAUACCUGCAUCAUAGAAUAUUUAUUAUAUUCCUUUUGUGUGUUAUCUCAAUACUAUUUAUUUUCUCUUUCUUUAGUAACCCAUUUGCUAAAAUGACUAAUUUCCGAAAGAAAAAAAAAAUG